UCUCCGUAGGUGAACCUGCGGAGGGAUCAUUACACAAUACAAUAUGAAGGCCGUACGCGGCUGGAUUAUUUUAUUACCCUUGUCUUUUGCGCACUUGUUGUUUCCUGGGCGGGUUCGCCCGCCACCAGGACCACACCAUAAACCUUUUUUUAUGCAGUUGCAAUCAGCGUCAGUACAACAAAUGUAAAUCAUUUACAACUUUCAACAACGGAUCUCUUGGUUCUG
This 225-nucleotide unclassified non-coding RNA is filed under the name plant metagenome. Its description in RNAcentral is "partial contains small subunit ribosomal RNA, internal transcribed spacer 1, and 5.8S ribosomal RNA". The record is from RNAcentral.